CCCUUAGAUGUUCUGGGCAGCACGCGCGCUACAAUGGUCUUCGCAAACGGAUGCAUUCUCGAAGGAGAAUGCCAAUCUUGGAAUCUAUGCCUUGGUCGGGACAGUUGCUUGCAAUUUUUCGACUCGAACCAGGAAUUCCUUGUAAUCGUGAUUCAUGACAUCACGAUGAAUACGUCCCUGCCCUUUGUACACACCGCCCGUCGCUCCUACCGAUCGAAGAGUUAGGUGAAUUGUUUUGAUCGAUAAGAUUUGACUAUGGUCAACUCUCGUUGUGAAAUUCUGUGAAUCUGACUGUUUAGAGGAAGGAAAAGUCGUAACA
This 319-nucleotide ribosomal RNA is filed under the name uncultured eukaryote. RNAcentral describes it as "partial 18S ribosomal RNA". It matches the Rfam family "Eukaryotic small subunit ribosomal RNA", at positions 1470 to 1796 of the family's 1831-position model. The record is from RNAcentral.